This is a long non-coding RNA of Gasterosteus aculeatus aculeatus (three-spined stickleback), 429 nucleotides long. Lineage: Eukaryota; Metazoa; Chordata; Actinopteri; Perciformes; Gasterosteidae. The record is from Ensembl.
GGAAAGUCUGCAGAGGAAAGCUGAAAAGCCUUUCAAGUCUCAAUCAGUAAGAAGUUUUCCAUUUUAAACGGUUUCUCUGCGAGUUUGUCGGUGACAAAAGGCUCCGUAACAUCUGAACUACCGGCUCCAAGACACGCCGCUGGGCUUCCUGCUGUGGGCUCCGGACCUUCCUCAGUGGUGCUGACGCUACUGAAGACAGAAGACUGCUCCGGCCUCCUGGAAAAUGUGACGCCAAUUCAGGAAUGCUGCUCGCUGCGAAUGCGAACCCCCGCACAAGCCCUGCAGGAAGUCGUAGUAAAAAAGAAAAAGUGAUGUGAUGGAAGCCGAUUGCUUUCUCGGGAGUUACAUGCUGUGGCCGAGCUCCGGCUCACAAACUGCAGAGGUGCAUGUAGACGACACACGCCGUGAUUACAGAAGCAAAAAGGAACC